AUGGUACUCCCUCCGUCCGGAAACUUGUCACGGAGAUGGAUGUAUCUAGAUGUAUUUUAGUUUAAGAUUCAUCCAUUUCUAUCCAUUUUUACGACGAAUAAUUCAGGACGGAGGGAGUACUAU
Triticum aestivum (bread wheat) is the source of this 123-nucleotide non-coding RNA. Lineage: Eukaryota; Viridiplantae; Streptophyta; Magnoliopsida; Poales; Poaceae. The record is from Rfam.